UUAUACGAGAGACCCAAGUUGAUGCCUACGGCGUAAAGCGUGAUUAUAGGUCAACAAAAACUAAAGCCAAAGCCCCUCAAAGCUGUUAUACGCACAUCGAAGGUCCUAAGCCCAAAAACGAAAGUAGCUUUAACCUAAUUAACCUAGACCACACGACAGUUGGGAGACAAACUGGGAUUAGAUACCCCACUAUGCCCAACCAUAAACUUUGAUAAUAAAAUACAAAUAUUAUCCGCCAGGGAACUACAAGCACAAUGCUCGAAACCCAACGGACUUGGCGGUGCCCCACACCCCCCUAGAGGAGCCUGUUCUACAACUGACAACCCCCGUUAAACCUCACCGCCCCUAGCCUAGUCAGUCUAUAUACCACCGUCGUAAGCUCACCCUAUGAAGGCCCAAUAGUAAGCAAGAUGGGCACAACCCAACACGUCAGGUCGAGGUGUAGCACACGGGGCGGGAAGAAAUGGGCUACAUUUUCUGCCAAACAGAACAUCAACGAACAACGAUAUGAAAACACCGUUUAAAGGAGGAUUUAGCAGUAAAAAGAAAACAGAGAGUUCUUUUGAAGCCGGCCCUGGGGCGCGCACACACCGCCCGUCACUCUCCACGACCUUACAAAAACUACAAAACUAAAUAAUAUAACACAACCACCACUAGUGGAGACAAGUCG
RNAcentral lists this ribosomal RNA (670 nucleotides) under Petrocephalus microphthalmus. RNAcentral describes it as "partial 12S ribosomal RNA". It matches the Rfam family "Bacterial small subunit ribosomal RNA", at positions 521 to 1488 of the family's 1533-position model. Lineage: Eukaryota; Metazoa; Chordata; Actinopteri; Osteoglossiformes; Mormyridae. The record is from RNAcentral.